GACGAACGCUGGCGGUGUGCUUCACACAUGCAAGUCGAACGGAGUAGCAAUACUCAGUGGCGGACGGGUGAGUAACACGUGGGAAUCUACCAUUAGGUGGGGAAUAACAGGCCGAAAGGACUGCUAAUGCCGCAUAUGUAGGCAUCUCGACAGAGAUGUUUAUGAAAGGAGUAAUCCGCCUUUUGAUGAGCCCGCGUCCGAUUAGCUAGUUGGUAGGGUAAAAGCCUACCAAGGCGACGAUCGGUAGGUGGUCUGAGAGGAUGAUCACCCACAAUGGGACUGAGACACGGCCCAUACUCCUACGGGAGGCAGCAGUGGGGAAUUUUACGCAAUGGGGGAAACCUUGACGUAGCGACACCGCGUGAGCGAAGAAGCCCUUUGGGGUGUAAAGCUCUGUCAACAGGAACGAAACAAAUGACGGUACCUGUGGAGGAAGCAUCGGCUAACUACGUGCCAGCAGCCGCGGUAAGACGUAGGAUGCAAGCGUUGUCCGGAUUUAUUGGGCGUAAAGAGUUCGUAGGCGGUUUGUUAAGUCUGAUGUUAAAGACCGGGGCUCAACCUCGGAAAUGCAUUGGAUACUGGCAGACUGGAGUGCAGUAGAGGCUAGUGGAAUUCCCAGU
RNAcentral lists this ribosomal RNA (620 nucleotides) under uncultured bacterium. Its description in RNAcentral is "bacterial SSU rRNA". It matches the Rfam family "Bacterial small subunit ribosomal RNA", at positions 28 to 674 of the family's 1533-position model. The record is from RNAcentral.